GAUGAACGCUAGCGGCAGGCCUAAUACAUGCAAGUCGAACGGAUAUAUGUUUUUCGGAAUAUAUAUUAGUGGCGCACGGGUGAGUAACACGUACAUAACUUGCCCUCAAGCGGGGGAUAGCCUUGGGAAACUGAGAGUAAUACCCCAUAGAAUUAUUGGACGGCAUCGUUUGAUAAUUAAAACUACGGUGCUUGGGGAUAGAUGUGCGUCUGAUUAGCUAGUUGGUGAGGUAACUGCUCACCAAGGCGACGAUCAGUAGGGGGCGUGAGAGCGUGGCCCCCCACACGGGUACUGAGACACGGACCCGACUCCUACGGGAGGCAGCAGUAAGGAAUAUUGGUCAAUGGAGGGAACUCUGAACCAGCCAUGCCGCGUGAAGGAUGACGGCCCUCUGGGUUGUAAACUUCUUUUGGAUGGGGCGAAAAAACGGGNUUUAUCCUGGACUGACGGUACCAUCAGAAUAAGCACCGGCUAACUCCGUGCCAGCAGCCGCGGUAAAGU
This 501-nucleotide ribosomal RNA is filed under the name uncultured bacterium. RNAcentral describes it as "bacterial SSU rRNA". It matches the Rfam family "Bacterial small subunit ribosomal RNA", at positions 28 to 526 of the family's 1533-position model. The record is from RNAcentral.